UCCCAAAAUCUCACAGAAGCACCAGUGAGAAAAGAAGCUCCAUAACGGGCUGCAAGAUACCUUCAACCUGACCGACAGGCAUGUGUGUGUAUGCAUUUCUCAGCUUCCUUUGUUCUCUGUCUCCUGUCUUACAGUCUGCCUGGUGUGUCCCAAUUGAUCGGGCUGUAUAAUGGAAGUGGAUGACAGCCACAUCUGAAGUCAAGAGAUGAAAGACAUCAUUUACAACACCUUCGUCGCAAUUCCAAGAGGAAGUCUUUUUCAUCCAGUCACCAGGGCGAUAACCUGCCAGGCCUCAUCGUGUUGCCUUAAUAUCUGCCGUUCCGAUUCCUCUGCAUCCAACUGCACUGCGCCUCCUGGCAUUCAGCAGCGCCAUUAGGGCUCAGACUACAACCUUCACUGGUGUCAACCCUCUGCACCUUUCCUUGAUGCCCUUGAGCGGUAAUUGGUGAAUCCCCCCCAGAAUCUGACUUGAGGGAACAGAAAUCCACAGCUCCCCAAUCAGCCGUCUGUCAGUCAUUCUGCCAACUAAACUAAAGCAGGGGAUAACUAACAGGCUGAGAUCGGAAUUUAAGUUAGUGAGACAUAAAUCUUUCCGACAAGUUUGUGCUUGGCAACAGGGCUAUCACCAAAUUGGAGGGUGGGGAUGGUGCCAACAUGGUGGAUGGGGAGAAUAUGUAAUUUGUGCUCCACGGUGAAAAAUGAUGUGCAGUUUUCUUGCACUAAAUAUGUAAAAAGAGACAGAACAUUUAGAAAAAAAAGUGAAUUGACGCGAGCUCUGGUUCAGCAAUUUUAAACUCCUGGGAUUCAAAAAAACAAUUUUAGCAAAUUUAACCCUGUUAAAGUCCACUACAUCAAUAACAUAUAAGACUUGAUAGAAAAUUCUUUUUUUUUUGGAAUGAACAUGUUUUUUAAACCCCUUUAAUGAAAUUUGAUUUAAUUAAAUUUAAGGAUUUUUUUAGAAAAUUGUACCAGUUAUAACAAAUUGGGUGAUUUGGUAAGUUUUUGCUCACAACAAUGUUAGUUUAAGAUACAAAAAUACUAACUCAAAUGGGGAAAAAAGCAUCAUAUUACCCACUGUCUCAAAUUCGAUCCACACAUAUUUUUGACAUUGUGAAAUUGUAAUAUAAAGAAUCAAGUGUCAACAUAUUUUACAUUUUACUACAGCAAAGUCAUGUCAAAAAUAAGAAAAAUAGAUGAGUUAUUUUGGCAUAAUGUUUUGAAAAUUGACAAAUUGACAGGAAUUACAGCUUCGCGCAGGCAGCCAUUUUAAAAUGACCAGAAAAAUGUCCAUCUACUGCCUCUAGUGGAAUAAUGAUGAACUACAGGGGAGAAAAUAUGGACCAACAAUGGGUUUUCAGGAAAAAUUUGAAUCAUGCUGAUGAGAUAGGGGUUUCAGAAAUGUGUGUUUCAAGUAAGAUGCAAAUGGUUAAAUAAGGUAUAAAAAAAAAUUUCUCCAAAGAUAUCAACUGCAGAGUGGUUGUUUGUUGCACAGAAAUGUUCUGAAAAGCUGGAUAACCCUCAGUGUCCUCCCUGCAGAAGUGUCAUUUUAAUCAUGACUCUAAAUCUGCGCUGGGUCUACAAGCAGCUGACCUUGUCUCCUGACCCUUACACCGGGGGAGGCCAUCAAGAAACACGGCAGCUCGGUGGGAUCGAUAUGGAAUUAGAUGAUUCACAAGUCAUAUUGCUGCUGCUUGUCGAUUUCACAGGAAGGAGCACGGCUGACAGUAAUCCCAUUCAAUGGUGAUUAAUGCCACAAAAUGAUGAUCUGCAACAACACAAUCCCUCUCAGUCCUCUCGGGAACACUCGCGGCUUCUUCUAAAGCAAACACUCCUGUCUGCAGCACAUACCUCGGAUUUGCUGUGUAUCUCGUUCCCGCAACAAGUAAAAGAAUUGACACAAAAA
This is a non-coding RNA of Oryzias latipes (Japanese medaka), 1903 nucleotides long. NCBI's taxonomy places the organism in Eukaryota, Metazoa, Chordata, Actinopteri, Beloniformes, Adrianichthyidae. The record is from RefSeq and is a predicted model, not a curated record.